GGUUUUAUAGUUUAAAUUAAAAACUUUAAAUUGCAAGUUUAAUAAUGAUGUAUUUCUAGGACCU
Molecule: transfer RNA, 64 nt
Filed under: Cicadellidae sp. 'Neodcortus squaras'
Lineage: Eukaryota; Metazoa; Arthropoda; Insecta; Hemiptera; Cicadellidae
Description: tRNA-Cys
Source: RNAcentral